This 460-nucleotide ribosomal RNA is filed under the name uncultured bacterium. Its description in RNAcentral is "partial 16S ribosomal RNA". It matches the Rfam family "Bacterial small subunit ribosomal RNA", at positions 338 to 795 of the family's 1533-position model. The record is from RNAcentral.
CCUACGGGUGACAGCAGUGAGGAAUAUUGGUCAAUGGACGCAAGUCUGAACCAGCCAUGCCGCGUGCAGGAAGACGGCCCUAUGAGUUGUAAACUGCUUUUGUACGAGGGUAAACGCAGAUACGCGUAUCUGUCUGCAAGUAUCGUACGAAUAAGGAUCGGCUAACUCCGUGCCAGCAGCCGCGGUAAUACGGAGGAUUCAAGCGUUAUCCGGAUUUAUUGGGUUUAAAGGGUGCGUAGGCGGUCGGAUAAGUUAGAGGUGAAAUCCCGAGGCUCAACUUCGGAAUUGCCUCUGAUACUGUUCGGCUAGAGAGUAGUUGCGGUAGGCGGAAUGUAUGGUGUAGCGGUGAAAUGCUUAGAGAUCAUACAGAACACCGAUUGCGAAGGCAGCUUACCAAGCUACUUCUGAUGUUGAGGCACGAAAGCGUGGGGAGCAAACAGGAUUAGAUACCCCUGUAGUC